Molecule: ribosomal RNA, 562 nt
Filed under: uncultured Synechococcus sp.
Lineage: Bacteria; Bacillati; Cyanobacteriota; Cyanophyceae; Synechococcales; Synechococcaceae
Description: bacterial SSU rRNA
Rfam family: Bacterial small subunit ribosomal RNA
Source: RNAcentral
UACGGGAGGCAGCAGUGGGGAAUUUUCCGCAAUGGGCGAAAGCCUGACGGAGCAACGCCGCGUGAGGGAUGAAGGCCUCUGGGCUGUAAACCUCUUUUAUCAAGGAAGAAGAUCUGACGGUACUUGAUGAAUAAGCCACGGCUAAUUCCGUGCCAGCAGCCGCGGUAAUACGGGAGUGGCAAGCGUUAUCCGGAAUUAUUGGGCGUAAAGCGUCCGCAGGCGGCCCAACAAGUCUGCUGUUAAAAAGUGGAGCUUAACUCCAUCAUGGCAGUGGAAACUGUUGGGCUAGAGUGUGGUAGGGGCAGAGGGAAUUCCCGGUGUAGCGGUGAAAUGCGUAGAUAUCGGGAAGAACACCAGUGGCGAAGGCGCUCUGCUGGGCCAUCACUGACGCUCAUGGACGAAAGCCAGGGGAGCGAAAGGGAUUAGAUACCCCUGUAGUCCUGGCCGUAAACGAUGAACACUAGGUGUCGGGGGAAUCGACCCCUCCGGUGUCGUAGCCAACGCGUUAAGUGUUCCGCCUGGGGAGUACGCACGCAAGUGUGAAACUCAAAGGAAUUGACGG